CAAUAGCGUAUAUUAAAGUUGUUGCGGUUAAAAAGUUCGUAGUUGGAUUUCUGCCAAGGACGACCGGUCCGCCCUCUGGGUGAGUAUCUGGCUUGGCCUGGGCAUCUUCUUGGAGAACGUUGUUGCACUUCACUGUGUGACGCGGUAUUCAGGACCUUUACUUUGAGGAAAUUAGAGUGUUUCAAGCAGGCUUUCGCCUUGAAUACAUUAGCAUGGAAUAAUAAGAUAGGACUUUGGUGCUAUUUUGUUGGUUGAGCCUAAAGUAAUGAUUAAUAGGGAUAGUUGGGGGCACCUGUAUUGCGUUGUCAGAGGUGAAAUUCUUGGAUUUACGCAAGACAAACAGCUGCGAAAGCGUCUGCCAAGGAUGUUUUCAUUA
This 376-nucleotide ribosomal RNA is filed under the name uncultured eukaryote. Its description in RNAcentral is "partial 18S ribosomal RNA". It matches the Rfam family "Eukaryotic small subunit ribosomal RNA", at positions 592 to 975 of the family's 1831-position model. The record is from RNAcentral.